GGGGCGUAGCUGCCGUUAGGCACUUUAGGCACGUGCCUACACAUAAUUUUUUCACAAAUAUUUUUUUUAUCAAAAAAAAUAAUAAACAACGUUAUAUGUAGAUGAACUCCAGUGAAGUUGUCACAACUCGAAUGUCAUGUGUACACUAGUCUCUCGUCCUUAGUGAAUGGAAUAUUGGAUAGAAUUGAAUGUUUUUAUGUG
This 201-nucleotide long non-coding RNA is filed under the name Mytilus galloprovincialis (Mediterranean mussel). The record is from RNAcentral. Lineage: Eukaryota; Metazoa; Mollusca; Bivalvia; Mytilida; Mytilidae.